CUGUGCUCCAACAAAGCCCUGGGUUGUCUUGUCUGUGGGACUUUCAGUUUAUUCCAUACUCAGUUUCUGCCUCAAUUUCUUUACUUGCAAGAUGAGCAGGAUAAUAGUAUACAUCUCAUAGGAUUGUUCUGAGAAUUAAAUGAGUUGUGGUGUGCUGCUGGUAUCAUAAACAGAAUUUUAUGAUGGUCCUCAAGAGUCCCAGCCUUGGGUCUCAACCCCACAAUCCCCUCCCCUUGGGGGUGGUUGGCUGCCAUGGAUAUGAUGGAAUGUCACUCUUAUAAUUCAGCAGUUAUACAGCAAAGGUGAAAGAAUUUUUUCAGAUGUAAUUCAGGCCUCCAAUUGGUUGACUCUGAGUUAAUCAAAAGGAAAUUAGUGUGGCUGGGCCUGACCUAAUCAGGGGACCCCACAAGUUUAGUGGUCAGAGACUUGAAGCACCAGAAAUUCUCUUGGUAAUCUUAAAGAAGCAAGCAUCAUGAUUCUAUAGUUGAAAGGGAUGAAGCCUGCCCACAGUCCUGUGAGCUAGAGAGAGGGCCCCAAGCCUCUGAAAAGUCCCCAGCCUCAGUGAAUACCUGGAUUCCAGCUUUCUGAGACCCUAAGUACAGAACCUAGUCAAGCUGGCCAAGACUUCAAAUCCACAGAAGCUGCAAGGUAAUAAAGAGCUGCCUCCAGAACCAGACGGGGGGUCCAGCUGACAUCCAGCUACUCCCAACCCAGCUGAACUUGGAAGUGAAUGCCUCUUCCAGAUGAGAACACACCCUAGCCAACACUCGCCUGCAGGUGCCCCUGAGCAGACUCCUAACCUACAGAAGAUAAUACAUGUGUGCUAUUUUAAGCUAAGACCUUCUGCUUGCGAGGCAGGCGUGGCGCCACUGAGCUAAAUCCUCAGCCCCAUGCUAUUUCCAUUUUAUGUAGGAGAAAGUUGAAGUUCUGAAAGGACACAAAAGGAGAUCAACAUUAAAUUAGGAAAUAUCCAGAAAGAUCCAACUACUUGCUAAAAUAGCCAACAGAGGGAAAAGGAGGACGGGCCAGCAGGAUUCCUGGAGGUCCCACCUUGAAGCUGAAGCAGAGCAAAGGUGAAAACAAGAAUCUUCGGAUUCCCUGGUCAGACACUGAAGGGCGCAUGUGCAUGCACCUCAGCACCAACUGGCAAAGGACCACGGAGGGGGACACUAAACACCUGAAGACUUUGAAAUGGCACAGUGGGUGCAAGAGGAACAUCGUGCCACAAAAUGCCAUCAGAUUGUCCCAGGCAGUGUAUGUGUGUGGUGCAUCACAAAUAAGGGUGCUCAGAGGAGGAGGCUCCUGGGGGUGGGACUUCAAGGAAGGCUUCCUGGGAGAGGUGGAAGGGUCUAGAUGUUGAAGGACAUGGCCCUCUGGAGCAGCUAAGAAA
Molecule: long non-coding RNA, 1390 nt
Filed under: Heterocephalus glaber (naked mole-rat)
Lineage: Eukaryota; Metazoa; Chordata; Mammalia; Rodentia; Bathyergidae
Description: lncRNA (ENSHGLG00100044150.1)
Source: RNAcentral